Molecule: ribosomal RNA, 1626 nt
Filed under: Escherichia coli O104:H4 str. Ec11-9450
Lineage: Bacteria; Pseudomonadati; Pseudomonadota; Gammaproteobacteria; Enterobacterales; Enterobacteriaceae
Description: bacterial LSU rRNA
Rfam family: Bacterial large subunit ribosomal RNA
Source: RNAcentral
GGGUGAAAAGCCCGCUCGCCGGAAGACCAAGGGUUCCUGUCCAACGUUAAUCGGGGCAGGGUGAGUCGACCCCUAAGGCGAGGCCGAAAGGCGUAGUCGAUGGGAAACAGGUUAAUAUUCCUGUACUUGGUGUUACUGCGAAGGGGGGACGGAGAAGGCUAUGUUGGCCGGGCGACGGUUGUCCCGGUUUAAGCGUGUAGGCUGGUUUUCCAGGCAAAUCCGGAAAAUCAAGGCUGAGGCGUGAUGACGAGGCACUACGGUGCUGAAGCAACAAAUGCCCUGCUUCCAGGAAAAGCCUCUAAGCAUCAGGUAACAUCAAAUCGUACCCCAAACCGACACAGGUGGUCAGGUAGAGAAUACCAAGGCGCUUGAGAGAACUCGGGUGAAGGAACUAGGCAAAAUGGUGCCGUAACUUCGGGAGAAGGCACGCUGAUAUGUAGGUGAAGCGACUUGCUCGUGGAGCUGAAAUCAGUCGAAGAUACCAGCUGGCUGCAACUGUUUAUUAAAAACACAGCACUGUGCAAACACGAAAGUGGACGUAUACGGUGUGACGCCUGCCCGGUGCCGGAAGGUUAAUUGAUGGGGUCAGCGCAAGCGAAGCUCUUGAUCGAAGCCCCGGUAAACGGCGGCCGUAACUAUAACGGUCCUAAGGUAGCGAAAUUCCUUGUCGGGUAAGUUCCGACCUGCACGAAUGGCGUAAUGAUGGCCAGGCUGUCUCCACCCGAGACUCAGUGAAAUUGAACUCGCUGUGAAGAUGCAGUGUACCCGCGGCAAGACGGAAAGACCCCGUGAACCUUUACUAUAGCUUGACACUGAACAUUGAGCCUUGAUGUGUAGGAUAGGUGGGAGGCUUUGAAGUGUGGACGCCAGUCUGCAUGGAGCCGACCUUGAAAUACCACCCUUUAAUGUUUGAUGUUCUAACGUGGACCCGUAAUCCGGGUUGCGGACAGUGUCUGGUGGGUAGUUUGACUGGGGCGGUCUCCUCCUAAAGAGUAACGGAGGAGCACGAAGGUUGGCUAAUCCUGGUCGGACAUCAGGAGGUUAGUGCAAUGGCAUAAGCCAGCUUGACUGCGAGCGUGACGGCGCGAGCAGGUGCGAAAGCAGGUCAUAGUGAUCCGGUGGUUCUGAAUGGAAGGGCCAUCGCUCAACGGAUAAAAGGUACUCCGGGGAUAACAGGCUGAUACCGCCCAAGAGUUCAUAUCGACGGCGGUGUUUGGCACCUCGAUGUCGGCUCAUCACAUCCUGGGGCUGAAGUAGGUCCCAAGGGUAUGGCUGUUCGCCAUUUAAAGUGGUACGCGAGCUGGGUUUAGAACGUCGUGAGACAGUUCGGUCCCUAUCUGCCGUGGGCGCUGGAGAACUGAGGGGGGCUGCUCCUAGUACGAGAGGACCGGAGUGGACGCAUCACUGGUGUUCGGGUUGUCAUGCCAAUGGCACUGCCCGGUAGCUAAAUGCGGAAGAGAUAAGUGCUGAAAGCAUCUAAGCACGAAACUUGCCCCGAGAUGAGUUCUCCCUGACUCCUUGAGAGUCCUGAAGGAACGUUGAAGACGACGACGUUGAUAGGCCGGGUGUGUAAGCGCAGCGAUGCGUUGAGCUAACCGGUACUAAUGAACCGUGAGGCUUAACCUU